This 83-nucleotide transfer RNA is filed under the name Hydrogenophilales bacterium. RNAcentral describes it as "tRNA-OTHER". Lineage: Bacteria; Pseudomonadati; Pseudomonadota; Hydrogenophilia; Hydrogenophilales. The record is from RNAcentral.
GCGGCUGUGUACCCCGAUGGGUAAGGGGGCGGGGCGGCAGAAUGCCGCCGCGCGGAUGUUGGUUCGAGUCCAACCCGGCCGCA